Molecule: ribosomal RNA, 326 nt
Filed under: uncultured bacterium
Lineage: Bacteria
Description: bacterial SSU rRNA
Rfam family: Bacterial small subunit ribosomal RNA
Source: RNAcentral
GAUGAACGCUGGCGGCGUGCUUAACACAUGCAAGUCGAACGAAGCACUUGGAACAGAUUACUUCGGUUUGAAGUUCCAUUUGACUGAGUGGCGGACGGGUGAGUAACGCGUGGGUAACCUGCCCUAUACAGGGGGAUAACAGUUAGAAAUGACUGCUAAUACCGCAUAAGCGCACGGUCUCGCAUGGGACAGUGUGAAAAACUCAGGUGGUAUAGGAUGGACCCGCGUCUGAUUAGCUUGUUGGCGGGGUAACGGCCCACCAAGGCGACGAUCAGUAGCCGGCCUGAGAGGGUGAACGGCCACAUUGGGACUGAGACACGGCCCAA